AUUCUUGUUUUAUGAUUAAAUGAGUUGAACAGGACUGUUACUAUCAUAAGUGUAGUGCAAGUAUCAAGUUUUUUUUUAGCUCACCUGGCUUUUGUCGUACGUCGUAGUCUGUUAAGUUUUACAAAAACCUUCCUACUUGGCCACAUUUAUCCAAACUUAGUCACAAUCAUCAGUGCCAGUAUUUAGUUUAUUUUGAAAGGCUAGGUCAUCAGACACAUUUAAAAAAAAAACCAGCC
This 236-nucleotide long non-coding RNA is filed under the name Mytilus galloprovincialis (Mediterranean mussel). The record is from RNAcentral. Lineage: Eukaryota; Metazoa; Mollusca; Bivalvia; Mytilida; Mytilidae.